AUGCUUUGGAAGAAGCUUGUACAGUUUGGGAAGGGGUUUUUUGAGAGAAAAGAAGAAUCUACUUCAACCGAUAUGCCCUUAGGCACGGCCAUGCAUAACAUAGAAAUCACACGUGGAAGGGGUGGGCAAUUAGCUAGAGCAGCAGGUGCUGUAGCGAAACUCAUUGCAAAAGAGGGUAAAUCGGCCACUUUAAGAUUACCAUCUGGGGAGGUCCGUUUAGUAUCCCAAAACUGCUUAGCAACAGUCGGACAAGUGGGUAAUGUUGGGGCGAACCAAAAAAGUUUGGGUAGAGCCGGAUCUAAGUGUUGGCUAGGUAAACGCCCCGUAGUAAGAGGGGUAGUUAUGAACCCUGUGGACCACCCCCAUGGGGGCGGUGAAGGGAAAGCUCCCAUUGGUAGAAAAAAACCCACAACCCCUUGGGGUUAUCCUGCGCUUGGAAGAAGAACUAGGAAAAGGAAAAAAUAUAGCGAUAGUUUUAUUCUUCGUCGCCCUGUGACACGAAAAAAAACGAAUCCUUUUGUAGCUCAUCAUUUAUUGGCAAAGAUAGAAAAGGUCAAUAUGAAGGAGGAGAAAGAAACAAUAGUAACGUGGUCCCGGGCAUCUAGCAUUCUACCCACAAUGGUUGGCCAUACAAUCGCGAUUCAUAAUGGAAAGGAACAUAUACCUAUUUACAUAACAAAUCCUAUGGUAGGUCGCAAAUUGGGGGAAUUCGUGCCUACUCGGCAUUUCACGAGUUAUGAAAAUGCAAGAAAGGAUACUAAAUCUCGUCGUUAA
This 774-nucleotide ribosomal RNA is filed under the name Triticum aestivum (bread wheat). RNAcentral's name for it is "partial small subunit ribosomal RNA". The record is from RNAcentral. Lineage: Eukaryota; Viridiplantae; Streptophyta; Magnoliopsida; Poales; Poaceae.